ACGCUCGACACCUACGGGAGGCAGCAGUGGGGAAUAUUGCACAAUGGGGGAAACCCUGAUGCAGCGACGCCGCGUGAGUGAAGAAGUAUUUCGGUAUGUAAAGCUCUAUCAGCAGGGAAGAAAAUGACGGUACCUGACUAAGAAGCCCCGGCUAACUACGUGCCGGCAGCCGGCGGUAAUCUGAGGCGGGCUGGCAAGGC
RNAcentral lists this ribosomal RNA (200 nucleotides) under uncultured bacterium. Its description in RNAcentral is "partial 16S ribosomal RNA". It matches the Rfam family "Bacterial small subunit ribosomal RNA", at positions 328 to 539 of the family's 1533-position model. The record is from RNAcentral.